This 234-nucleotide ribosomal RNA is filed under the name Escherichia coli. RNAcentral describes it as "partial 23S ribosomal RNA". It matches the Rfam family "Bacterial large subunit ribosomal RNA", at positions 2059 to 2294 of the family's 2925-position model. The record is from RNAcentral. Lineage: Bacteria; Pseudomonadati; Pseudomonadota; Gammaproteobacteria; Enterobacterales; Enterobacteriaceae.
AUGCAGUGUACCCGCGGCAAGACGGAAAGACCCCGUGAACCUUUACUAUAGCUUGACACUGAACAUUGAGCCUUGAUGUGUAGGAUAGGUGGGAGGCUUUGAAGUGUGGACGCCAGUCUGCAUGGAGCCGACUUGAAUACCACCCUUUAAUGUUUGAUGUUCUAACGUUGACCCGUAAUCCGGGUUGCGGACAGUGUCUGGUGGGUAGUUUGACUGGGGCGGUCUCCUCCUAAA